RNAcentral lists this long non-coding RNA (343 nucleotides) under Brassica napus (rape). Its description in RNAcentral is "long non-coding RNA (BNAP_LNC010346)". Lineage: Eukaryota; Viridiplantae; Streptophyta; Magnoliopsida; Brassicales; Brassicaceae. The record is from RNAcentral.
AUAUUUAAGUGAAAAAACCUUGGUCCUCACUUCUUUUUCAACCCUUCUCUUCAUUUGCUCUACUGGUGUCCGAGGUUGCUGAUGCCUCCUUCCAUUUCUCUCUCUCCAAAUGUGAUAAAUGGUAGUCUGGAACAGCAAUUUUGCCAACACUGAAUCCAUGCUUUGGUGCAUACCAAUCAAAUGCUGAAUUGUCCAGUGCCAAUCUGGAUUAAUCCCCCAACCCAUGAGACCUUUGGCCAAAGAUUCCCAGACUGUAUAAGAAUAAGGGCAAGCAAAAAAUAAGUGAUCCCUGGUUUCAUCUCUCUCUCCACACAGCUCACAUCCUUGUACUACUCCCCAUUGC